UUGGCCUCUGGCCACUUGCGGAUCGUCUGGCGAGGGAGGACCCGCCCGCGGGGGGCACGGGCACGGAUGAGGAAAGUGUCAAACAAGCCCUCUCUGUCCCCGCAGGCGGGUGGGUGCGCGGCCCCGCCCAGCGCUGGUUGCUAGGGACGCCCGGCGGUCGCUGGGGCGGGACCGCCGGCCGAGCUGAGUCUCUGGGCUGGCGGCUGCGGAGGGCGGGUUAGGGUUAGGGUUAGGGCGGCGGCGGCACCAUGAAGUCGGCCAAGAAGGACUCCCGCGUCCGAGUCCCCGGCAGGUUCUUGGAGGCCGCCGAGAACUUCAAAGGUUGGCGCCGGCUUCCUUAGACCGGAAGCAGGCAAAGAUACCUGAGCAGCCCACCCCCCAUUCAGCAGGAGCCUGAGCCCAUCAGCAGCGUGCUCCAGGGAGGCGACAUUCUUGCCUUGGCCAUAAAGAAGAGGACUUGAAGAAAG
RNAcentral lists this long non-coding RNA (467 nucleotides) under Heterocephalus glaber (naked mole-rat). RNAcentral's name for it is "lncRNA (ENSHGLG00100048152.1)". Lineage: Eukaryota; Metazoa; Chordata; Mammalia; Rodentia; Bathyergidae. The record is from RNAcentral.